UACUCCUACGGGAGGCAGCAGUAGGGAAUCUUCCACAAUGGACGCAAGUCUGAUGGAGCAACGCCGCGUGAGUGAAGAAGGCUUUCGGGUCGUAAAACUCUGUUGUUGGAGAAGAAUGGUCGGCAGAGUAACUGUUGUCGGCGUGACGGUAUCCAACCAGAAAGCCACGGCUAAUUACGUGCCAGCAGCCGCGGUAAUACGUAGGUGGCAAGCGUUAUCCGGAUUUAUUGGGCGUAAAGCGAGCGCAGGCGGUUUUUUAAGUCUGAUGUGAAAGCCCUCGGCUUAACCGAGGAAGUGCAUCGGAAACUGGGAAACUUGAGUGCAGAAGAGGACAGUGGAACUCCAUGUGUAGCGGUGAAAUGCGUAGAUAUAUGGAAGAACACCAGUGGCGAAGGCGGCUGUCUGGUCUGUAACUGACGCUGAGGCUCGAAAGCAUGGGUAGCGAACAGGAUUAGAUACCCUGGUAGUCCAUGCCGUAAACGAUGAAUGCUAGGUGUUGGAGGGUUUCCGCCCUUCAGUGCCGCAGCUAACGCAUUAAGCAUUCCGCCUGGGGAUUACGACCGCAAGGUUGAAACUCAAAGGAAUUGACGGA
This 592-nucleotide ribosomal RNA is filed under the name uncultured bacterium. RNAcentral's name for it is "bacterial SSU rRNA". It matches the Rfam family "Bacterial small subunit ribosomal RNA", at positions 334 to 917 of the family's 1533-position model. The record is from RNAcentral.